UUAUGAUAAGCUUUGUGUUUUAAAGUUGUUUUCGAUGAUGGAAUAUCCGAUACGGUGAGUGAUUUCGCUAGAAAUGAUCUAUCGUAUUAAAACUAUCUAAAAAUCAAAAUUUAUAAUCUAUUGACUUUAUUUGUUUAGUAAAUAAAUAAUCUAAAAUUGAACCAUUGAAAAUAAAAAUCUCAUAAAAAAUAGUGAUAGAAAACUUAAAUUUCAGAUCGGAAGAAAUAACCUUACUCUUGAUGGUUAAUGAAUUUUCUAUUAAAAUUUUAUCUAAUUUAGAUUGUUCUACGUUAUUGAACUUACAAACAUAGCCCAUCGUUUAUUAAAAUAGUUAUUUUUAGAAUCAUUUGAUCACUUAGCAAAUUAUGUCGAAAAAUUUCAAAUUUUGGUUUUUAGAUAGUUUCAAUAGCAAAGGUCAUGUCUAGAGAAGCCGAUCGUUGAAUUGAAUAUUUUAUCAUCGAAAACAACUUAAAAAUAUAUUACUAUAACUGACCGUUCCUAGCGCAAGUGAUAAAGGGUUUGAUGGUUGGUACCCGAGAUCCAAGUUCGAAUCAUAGUUGAUUUACAUUUCCAGCUAAAUUUAUUUCUAAAUAAAAUAAACGAAGCAGGCAGCAUGUUACCUUUCUCUCAAUAUAUAUAUAUAUAUAUAUAUAUAUAGUAGGGCUACUGUAUUAUUAGGAGCACAACAGUCUUUGUGCUCCUAACUUUCUAACCAUCUAUCAAGUUUGAUGGGUGGUUAGAAUGAGAGAGGGAUGAGAUAUAAGGAUUGCUGUACUCCUAAUAGUACAGUAGUCCUGCUCUAUAUAUAUAUAUAUAUAUAUAUAUAUAUAUAUAUAUAUAUAUAUAUAUAUAGAAUUAUGCUACUAUACUAUCAAUAGUACCAAGCCCUUUGUACUAUUGAGUUUUUAGCCGUUGGAUGAAAGGAUGUGCGGUUAGGAUGAUAGUGGUCCCCGGUUAAAUUAAUAGUGGUCCCCUAGGGUUGAGUGGGUGGUUGGUUUAAUAGUAUAAUCUAACGGGUGGAAAUGAUCAAAGGGUAGAUCUAACGGUAGAAAACUCAAUAGUACCAAGGGCUUGGUACUAUCGAUAGUAUAGCAGCGGGACUCUAUAUAUAUA
RNAcentral lists this long non-coding RNA (1113 nucleotides) under Ananas comosus (pineapple). RNAcentral describes it as "long non-coding RNA (ACOM_LNC000203)". The record is from RNAcentral. Lineage: Eukaryota; Viridiplantae; Streptophyta; Magnoliopsida; Poales; Bromeliaceae.